AUGUUGAGAAUGAAUGCAAAUGUGUUCUUUGAUCUCCAUGACAAGUUGGUGGCGGAGUAUGGCCUCAAAGAAACAUGUUUUGUUACCACUUAUGAGUCUCUUGCUAUGUUCUCGUGGACCUUGGGUGGUUGUGAAUCAAACAGGAGAACCCAAAACCGUUUCAAACAUGGAGCAGAUACAGUCCACCGUAAGUUCCAUGAGGUUCUACAAUGUGUGGUCAAGAUGUCAUCUCACUACAUUAGGCCUCAAGACCCAAAUUUUCACAUCGUCCAUGAUAGGAUUAAGCGUGACAAAAGGGCUUAUCCUCAUCUCAAAGAUUGCAUUGGUGCAAUAGAUGGGACACAUAUUAGGGCUUCUAUUCCGGAAGGACCUUCAAAAAUAAGGUACAUUGGAAGAACCGGUGCAACAACACAGAAUGUGAUGGCAGUAUACGACUUUGAUAUGCAUUUC
This 450-nucleotide ribosomal RNA is filed under the name Triticum aestivum (bread wheat). Its description in RNAcentral is "partial small subunit ribosomal RNA". Lineage: Eukaryota; Viridiplantae; Streptophyta; Magnoliopsida; Poales; Poaceae. The record is from RNAcentral.